Molecule: non-coding RNA, 728 nt
Filed under: Pan troglodytes (chimpanzee)
Lineage: Eukaryota; Metazoa; Chordata; Mammalia; Primates; Hominidae
Source: RNAcentral
AACAGAAAGGUGGGCACGUGCCUAAAUGACUCACACAAAGAAGGCUAUGAGGAGCCUUGAGCAUUUGAGAUGGAGUGAGGCCAUGUGGAAGGGGCUGUGGAAGGUUCCAUCUAACAACUUGCUAGGCAGGUUGGGGCAGGAGGAAGUGCUCUGUGAGGGGGGCCUGGGAGAGAAUCAGGAGAACAGGGUACAACAGCUGGUGAGAGUUUUGCUUCUGAUAUAGACAAUGCCUGCAGAGCAAACCAUUACAGCUAAGAGAGAUCUUUAAGUGAAAGAAAAGGAGAAGGCUCCAUCUCAGCUUAUUAGGCUGGAGUGCAGUGGCGCGAUCUCGGCUCACUGCAAGCUCUGCCUCCCGGGUUCACGCCAUUCUCCUGCCUCAGCCUCCCGAGUAGCUGGGACUAGAGGCGCCCACCACCACAUCCGGCUAAUUGCUUUUAGCACUUUUUUGGGAGAGGAACAGAUGACAAUGCAUUGCCAGGCCUUCAAUACAAAAGGGGUGUGGCAACAGUAAAGCUUUCUACAUGUUAAACAGAAUGAACAAAACCAACGCAGAGCAGUGACUUUCUGUCAGAGAGAGCAGAAGGAGACCCUUAUAGAACAGCUGUUCCACUGCUCCAAAGGCCUCGUGUGGUUCUAUCCCUUGGACUGCCUUUCUUCAACAGCCCAGACACCUGCUCUGUCAGAUUUAUAAGCCACACCCCCUAGAACCAUGCCAAUCAAAGCAUGGC